RNAcentral lists this ribosomal RNA (253 nucleotides) under uncultured bacterium. RNAcentral describes it as "partial 16S ribosomal RNA". It matches the Rfam family "Bacterial small subunit ribosomal RNA", at positions 524 to 776 of the family's 1533-position model. The record is from RNAcentral.
UACGGAGGAUCCAAGCGUUAUCCGGAAUCAUUGGGUUUAAAGGGUCCGUAGGCGGUUUGGUAAGUCAGUGGUGAAAGCCCAUCGCUCAACGGUGGAACGGCCAUUGAUACUGCCAGACUUGAAUUAUUAGGAAGUAACUAGAAUAUGUAGUGUAGCGGUGAAAUGCUUAGAGAUUACAUGGAAUACCAAUUGCGAAGGCAGGUUACUACUAAUGGAUUGACGCUGAUGGACGAAAGCGUGGGCAGCGAACAGG